This 23-nucleotide non-coding RNA is filed under the name Gallus gallus (chicken). The record is from RNAcentral. RNAcentral also lists the same sequence under 1 other name. Lineage: Eukaryota; Metazoa; Chordata; Aves; Galliformes; Phasianidae.
UAGGAUUCGGCGCUCUCACCGCC